AACGAACGCUGGCGGCAGGCCUAACACAUGCAAGUCGAGCGCCCCGCAAGGGGAGCGGCGGACGGGUGAGUAACGCGUGGGAACGUGCCCUUUGCUACGGAAUAGCCCCGGGAAACUGGGAGUAAUACCGUAUAAGCCCUACGGGGGAAAGAUUUAUCGGCAAAGGAUCGGCCCGCGUUGGAUUAGGUAGUUGGUGGGGUAAUGGCCUACCAAGCCGACGAUCCAUAGCCGGUUUGAGAGGAUGAUCAGCCACACUGGGACUGAGACACGGCCCAGACUCCUACGGGAGGCAGCAGUGGGGAAUAUUAGACAAUGGGCGCAAGCCUGAUCUAGCCAUGCCGCGUGAGCGAUGAAGGCCUUAGGGUUGUAAAGCUCUUUCGUGGGGGAAGAUAAUGACUGUACCCCAAGAAGAAGCCCCGGCUAACUCCGUGCCAGCCGCCGCCGUAA
RNAcentral lists this ribosomal RNA (447 nucleotides) under uncultured bacterium. RNAcentral's name for it is "partial 16S ribosomal RNA". It matches the Rfam family "Bacterial small subunit ribosomal RNA", at positions 29 to 523 of the family's 1533-position model. The record is from RNAcentral.